This 3273-nucleotide long non-coding RNA is filed under the name Scophthalmus maximus (turbot). RNAcentral's name for it is "lncRNA (ENSSMAG00000025501.1)". The record is from RNAcentral. Lineage: Eukaryota; Metazoa; Chordata; Actinopteri; Pleuronectiformes; Scophthalmidae.
CCUUGAAAGCUGUUCUCGUAAGCCUUGGUUAUAAGAUAAAACAAUCCAAAACAUUCGUAUUAAUGCAAAUCAAAAUUUAUGAAGACUUGUGCCUUUCUGCAAAGCAGUUCCUGUCUGCAAUGACACAGAGGAGCGUCAAUAGUAGUAGUAGGAGUAAACGACGAGGAGUGAGAGGUCCUGUUUUCAGUGUAAAAUCUUUAUUUUUUCGACCGGUCGACAACACAGCGUCUGAUUGGUACAAGUCUGUAACAAAGCCUCUAAUUGGUAAAAGUCUGUAACAAAGCUUCUGAUUUUUACAAGUCUGCAACAGAGCUUCUGAUUGGUCAAGUGGUUCUAAAAUGGACGGCUAGAAGUCCUCUAACAACAACAGCAGCCUUUUACAUCUUGACAAGCGGGAUAAAAAUGAUUAUCAAAGUCAUUCAAUGUUGGAUUUAUCAUCAUGGACAUGUUGUACAAAGUCUCCAAAAAGACACCGGAAGUUCCAGGCCGCACUACAAAUCUUCUGAAAGGGCCACAAUCGCAAGGAAGCCCUGGCUGGAACGGCGCAAGUGUUCGAUUCCCGUCGAAACAAACGAUUCCUGAAUCCUGCCAUGCUCCGCGUGUCUCCUUCUCGCUCGUCCCUGGAUCCGUCUACCACCCUCUUAUCAAGGUUGGUUUGUUCCAGCAACACCUCCCAGUGUUUUCACUUGUCCUUCUCUGCAGGAAGCGAAUUGGACGAUCUACCCUGCGCCGAUGUUAUGCUGUGAAUCAAAAAAAAAAAAAAAAAGCCUAAUUAAAUUGCCUAAUUGGUUUCCUUGGGAAGGGUAAAACAGAUUUAAAUUGAUUACUGCUAAUGGCCUUUUGUGGAACCACAUUGGCUUCUGCUGUUUGAGGAGGAUUUAGCAAAACCAAUUAAUUUGCCUCACCUCUUCCACACCCUCCCUCUAUCUGCCUCUGUCUCUGUCUGGGAGAUUUUUCAUCAUUUGGGUUUUCCACUUUCAAAUGCCCUCCUUCAUUCUCUCUAAAUAAAUACGGAAAAUAACAUAACUGGAUAACAACUAUUCAAGCCUAAUUGGCUGAAUACUGUCAUACUGUUUUGCGGGGGGGGUGGCAGAUAUGGUAUAUAGGUCUACUGUUACGAGACUCGCCUGAAAAAAAUGAUCAUUUAAAUCUCUCUUUCAAUUAAGUUGGCCGUGCCUGUUUGCCUCCACACAGCAGCUCUCUUGCCGCUGCUGCUGCUGCUGCUGCUGCUGCUGGGCGGAAAAAAGUAAGAUGUCAAGGUCACAUUUUGUCACACAAGCUGAUUAAAUCCUUAAUACGUUCUCCCCCUCACUGUAUCCCCGGCCCUGGUGUUUCUCCUCCUCCCAUCAAAUAUUAUCACAACCAGACCUAAUGUGACACCAAAUGUUACCGUGUUAAUUACAUUUAGAGCAACUUUUGUGUAUGAUUCAAACAGAUGUCCCCCACCUGAUGGGAAAGGGAUAACAAUAAAUUUUUCUCACAGACAACUUUUAUUAGCAAAGUCGAAGGUUAAUAUAUAUGUGUGUGUGUGUGUGUGUGUUUAAAAGGCUGAUCAUGAAUGUGGCAUCAUCUGCUACUGUGUUCUGUGACUAAACAAAGCUAGAUUUCCGUGCUGAACUUCUUCCAUGUUAUUUACGUGCAGUAAAAUGAAAUGCAGUUACAGGCUGAAUAGCCCAUGACAAGUGAACGAAAAUAAGCAUUCUACAUAUUCAUAGCUGACUAUAUGGGAUUACAGAUGAGUGAAGCAACCUUCCACUGCCUCAAGGUUCACUGGAGAUGUAGGAAUAAUGACUUAAGUACUGCUGUUUAGCUGGAUUACAUGCACAAGCCUUGAGCAUUACAAAUUAAGGUUGAAAGAAGCCUGGAUUCCAUUAUGGGAUUACGUUACACACAUUUUGUUGUGAGUACUGCAUAUCUGUGGUAGCCUAUAUGUUACCCUUGAAACAAUGUUACGGCACCAACUUGGGUUGAAGUCAGUCGGUGUCCUUAAAAAGCGUGAUAAAGGAUAUGAAACACAUGAGCAGCACUACUACAAGCGAUGGAAGGAGCUGUGGAGGAAAAGAAAAACAAGUUCCUAUAAAAAAAAGGUUGUAUUGGCGUAUAAUAUUUUAACGAAACAAUAUGAAAGCAGGGAGACAAAAAGCAGGUUUUAGAUUUAAAAAAGGUUUGUUUUUCCAAAAGAUGAGGAAUGGCAAAGCAGGACUUCUAAACUGCACUGGGCCCUGUUAUGUUGACCACAUAAUAGAAAUGACUGCAAAAUAGAGCAUACUGAACUGCAACGGAACUAAAACUGAGUGAGCUAACACUAUCUAAAAUAAAUACUAACUAAUGCAAAGUGAUUAAAAAGGUCAAAUUAUAUAUGUAUUUCCACACUGCAGAUUCAUAUUGUAAAUAUGUUUCUUUCAUGUGUUCUUUUAUGCAGUGUGAUAUUCACACUGUAUAUGGAAAAUAAUUAAUCAGCGAUAAGUGUCAGCCUCAGCAGAUGUGAUCAGGGGAUGUUCUUGAAAGCAAAAAAAGACAGUAAAAGAGGUCAAAAUACACAUCACUGAGAUGUUUCUCUAAAAUCCAUAAUGGGUUUUUACCAUAUCAGACAAGAGUUUCAACCACUAGUGUGUAAUUUCAGUCUCUCUCUCUGCCUCUGCAAUUGUUUUUCACAUGUUCUAUUUGCCAGCCACAUCUCCUUUCAGUUUUACCUCUUUAUGCCUACUGUACCUGCAUGGGAGGAAAUGAAUCUGAGACAACCCUUUACAAACCGCACAAUGCUAAAGAAAGUCAAACUGUGUCCGGGAAGAGGAAAUUGCCACCCAGUCGAACAAAAAGCACGAAAUGUAUUUUCCACCUCUGAAACUCCCUGUCCAUUGCGUUCAUCUUUGGCCUGAGGUCUGCAUGCCAAAGGCCACAACACAGCCAUCACUAUCAGCCAUCAUUAUCAGUUGACAAAAAUAAACACAGUUUUGUUUUUUCAGUGAAUCAUUUGUGUCACUCUAAACCGGUAUAAGCAUCAAAGUCAGAUAUGACAUAAAGAUUUUAGACAUGAGGAUGAAGUCACUUUUCAGAAAUAUCUUAUCUAUAAAUGCACAGCUUGUCUUGCAAGCAACGUUCUCCCCCAACUUGAUGUAGGUAUAUUUGUAACAUUAAAAGACCAUUUUAUAUAUAUUUUUGCAAAGAGCACAAUAUAAGCACUUUGUAACCUAGGUUUUAAAGGUGCUAUAGAAAUAUAAUUUUACUUUACUUUCUUAAACGCAUAGGCCUUGACUUAGGGCAAACAUUUUG